CCUAAGGUAGCGAAAUUCCUUGUCAGGUAAGUUCUGACCCGCACGAAUGGCGUAAUGAUUUGGGCACUGUCUCAACAGCCCGCCCGGCGAAAUUGUAGUACUGGUGAAGAUGCCAGUUACCCGCAACUAGACGGAAAGACCCCAUGGAGCUUUACUGUAGCCUAAUACUGAAGAUCGGUAAUGCAUGUACAGGAUAGGUGGGAGCCAGCGAAACCCGGGCGUCAGCUCGGAUGGAGGCAACCUUGGAAUACCACCCUUGUAUUGCUGGUUUUCUAACCUGCGGCCAUGAAUCUGGUCGGGGGACACUGUUAGGUGGGCAGUUUGACUGGGGCGGUCGCCUCCAAAAGCGUAACGGAGGCGCUCAAAGGUUGGCUCAGCACGGACGGAAAUCGUGCAUAGAGUGCAAACGCAUAAGCCAACUUGACUGCGAGACCGACGGGUCGAGCAGGUACGAAAGUAGGAGUUAGUGAUCCGGUGGUAUGUGAGUGGAAAUGCCAUCGCUCAACGGAUAAAAGCUACCCUGGGGAUAACAGGCUGAUCUCCCCCAAGCGUCCACAGCGACGGGGAGGUUUGGCACCUCGAUGUCGGCUCGUCACAUCCUGGGGCUGUAUUCGGUCCCAAGGGUUCGGCUGUUCGCCGAUUAAAGUGGCACGCGAGCUGGGUUCAGAACGUCGUGAGACAGUUCGGUCCCUAUCUGUUGCGGGCGUAAGAGAUUUGAAGGGAGCUGUCCUUAGUACGAGAGGACCGGGAUGGACAGACCUCUGGUGCACCAGUUGUCGUGCCAACGGCACAGCUGGGUAGCUACGUCUGGACGAGAUAAACGCUGAAAGCAUCUAAGUGUGAAACUCCCCCUAAGAUAAGAUCUCCCAUCCAUUAGGAGUAAGGGACGACAAAGACUAUGUCGUUGAUAGGUCGGAAGUGUAAGUGCAGUAAUGCAUUGAGCUGACCGAUACUAAUAACCCGAGGGCUUGACCU
Molecule: ribosomal RNA, 975 nt
Filed under: human gut metagenome
Description: bacterial LSU rRNA
Rfam family: Bacterial large subunit ribosomal RNA
Source: RNAcentral